GGGGUGCUUGCACCCCGCUGACGAGCGGCGGACGGGUGAGUAAUGCUUAGGAAUCUGCCCAGUAGUGGGGGAUAGCCCGGGGAAACCCGGAUUAAUACCGCAUACGUCCUACGGGAGAAAGCAGGGGAUCUUCGGACCUUGCGCUACUGGAUGAGCCUAAGUCGGAUUAGCUAGUUGGUGGGGUAAAGGCCUACCAAGGCGACGAUCCGUAGCUGGUCUGAGAGGAUGAUCAGCCACAUCGGGACUGAGACACGGCCCGAACUCCUACGGGAGGCAGCAGUGGGGAAUAUUGGACAAUGGGGGCAACCCUGAUCCAGCCAUGCCGCGUGUGUGAAGAAGGCUUUCGGGUUGUAAAGCACUUUCAGCGAGGAGGAAGGCUCUGAAGUUAAUACCUUCGGGGAUUGACGUUACUCGCAGAAGAAGCACCGGCUAACUCCGUGCCAGCAGCCGCGGUAAUACGGAGGGUGCAAGCGUUAAUCGGAAUUACUGGGCGUAAAGCGCGCGUAGGUGGUUAGGUAAGCGAGAUGUGAAAGCCCCGGGCUUAACCUGGGAACGGCAUUUCGAACUGUCUGACUAGAGUGUGGUAGAGGGUAGUGGAAUUUCCUGUGUAGCGGUGAAAUGCGUAGA
This 627-nucleotide ribosomal RNA is filed under the name Marinobacter lipolyticus. RNAcentral describes it as "bacterial SSU rRNA". It matches the Rfam family "Bacterial small subunit ribosomal RNA", at positions 73 to 694 of the family's 1533-position model. Lineage: Bacteria; Pseudomonadati; Pseudomonadota; Gammaproteobacteria; Pseudomonadales; Marinobacteraceae. The record is from RNAcentral.